Limulus polyphemus (Atlantic horseshoe crab) is the source of this 67-nucleotide non-coding RNA. Lineage: Eukaryota; Metazoa; Arthropoda; Merostomata; Xiphosura; Limulidae. The record is from the annotation of a RefSeq genome assembly.
CAGAAAAUAGUUUAAGUUGAAAAUAUUGGUUUUGGGGAUCAGUGAUGGGAGAAAUUCUUUUUUCUGA